CUUGCGUGCGGUGUGAUUAAGGGACUAAUAUGACAGAGAUGACCACUGUGGCCAUGCGCAGCUAUAGUGUAUGCCCCACUUUACCUUGCUAUCCAUCAAGUUUUGUUCAGCCUGCACAAAACUGAUUCAUCCUACGACAAGCCGUCCACUCAUGUUUGAUAAAUAAUAGCACUGCUGCCACUGCAACACCACCCAUCGCUGCUGAAAUACACAGCGACUGUGUGACGCGCACUGCCACUCCUAGCACUCUUAAACUAACAGAGCCCCCCCUGGUAGUUAUCUAUUUUAACACCCAUUGCACUCUUAAACUAACAGAGUCCCCCUGGUAGUUAUCUAUUUUAACACCCAUUGCACUCUUAAACUAACAGUCCCCCUGGUAGUUAUCUAUUUUAACACCCAUUGCACACUUUUCUCUGAUGGAGCUCGGCACACCAUUCAUCUGUCUCUAUCAACUGUGCCUAUGGGAAUGGAAGUCUCAGAGGCUUAAGUUAGGUUUCAUUUAGUCAAAUAUAAGAGGGGGGCUUGCUCGGAGGGACUGUUGGGGGUGGGUGAGUGGAGCAACGCACCCCCAAAUGUAUGCAUGUUCCCCGUUAAUAGUUAGGGGGCUUAAGGGCGGGGUACAGUACGAUACACUAGGGUACAGUUGUUUAGGUCUUGACAAAUGCUUGUGAUUUUGCUGCUACACUUUGGACUAGUUUACACAGCGGUGGUGAGCCAGUCUUAAGCUACUCUGAAGAGGCAGUGUUUCAGAACCAGAGCUCUCCUGCAUUAUCACUGCGAGCAGAAUCCCUUCAGAGUCACGGCAAUCAAACACUUACUUCUGGGGUGUUUUAUUCUUACGGGGCUGGUUGGGGCCACUGCCUCCUGAGCCCUGUCUCACAGAUACUCACAGAUGGUGUUCUGGAAGAGGCCUAGGCCUGUGGCUCCAGUUCAAAGGCCUGGUUGUUCUCAACGUGUCACUGGGAAAUGUUAGCUGACGUUGUUGUUAUUCUGUCGCUGCGUCACCAGGGGAGGGGUUAGAUCCUGCUGAGUUGCUGGGACUUCUGCAGGAAGGUACACUUGGCAGGCAGUGUUGGGCUGAGGGCGUCGCUGCCCAGCAGGUCCUCUAGUGUUGGCCUGUGAAUGGUGAGUCUGGUUAAGGAUGCCUUGAGGCUGGUGCGUGGAGUCUUGGGCAGUGGAGCAGGGAGUGUUCUGGUGUGUGUGGGGCGCCAUGUGGGUCCUGGACAGUCUGUGGCGUGUGUGGCCAACCCUCAGGCGGGUGACGGCUGUGUCGGCCAGGACAGCUUGGAGGGACGCUACUCUGUGGAAGGCGGUAACUGUCUUGUCUGGCGAGGGAAGGCCCCGCCAGUACUCUGUGGAAGGUGGUAACUGUCUUGUCUGGCGAGGGAAGGCCCCGCCAGUACUCUGUGGAAGGCGGUAACUGUCUUGUCUGGCGAGGGAAGGCCCCGCCAGUACUCUGUGGAAGGCGGUAACUGUCUUGUCUGGCGAGGGAAGGCCCCGCCAGUACUCUGUGGAAGGUGGUAACUGUCUUGUCUGGCGAGGGAAGGCCCCGCCAGUACUCUGUGGAAGGUGGUAACUGUCUUGUCUGGCGAGGGAAGGCCCCGCCAGUACUCUGUGGAAGGCGGUAACUGUCUUGUCUGGCGAGGGAAGGCCCCGCCAGUACUCUGUGGAAGGUGGUAACUGUCUUGUCUGGCGAGGGAAGGCCCCGCCAGUAGACAAAAACGCUCCUUCUUGAGCCGGAAGCCGCGUCCUCCC
Long non-coding RNA from Eriocheir sinensis (Chinese mitten crab), 1755 nucleotides. RefSeq lists it as uncharacterized. Lineage: Eukaryota; Metazoa; Arthropoda; Malacostraca; Decapoda; Varunidae. The record is from RefSeq and is a predicted model, not a curated record. The transcript has 3 exons.